RNAcentral lists this long non-coding RNA (1205 nucleotides) under Capra hircus (goat). RNAcentral's name for it is "lncRNA (ENSCHIG00010007464.1)". The record is from RNAcentral. Lineage: Eukaryota; Metazoa; Chordata; Mammalia; Artiodactyla; Bovidae.
GAUUUUCCAGGCAAAAGUACUGGAGUGGGGUGCCAUUGCCUUCUCCAUGUCCUAGCUAUUGUAAAUAGUGUUGCAGUGAAUAUUGGGGUACAUGUGUCUUUUUCAAUUAUGGCUUCCUCAGGGUAUAUGCCCAGUAGUGGGAUUGUUAGGCCAUAUGGUAGUUUUAUUUGGUGGGAAUGUAAAUUGAUAUAGCCGUUAUGGAGCAUGGUAUAGAGAUUCCUUAAAAAACUAGAGCUGAGAUUCUUGAUGGGAGUGAGGCAGGUUGUCAGCUUUUGAGGCAAAAGAAUGGAGAGCAGCAUCUCACUUUCUCAAAAAGGAGCCCUAGACUUUUGUUGUACUACCCUCUGUGAUUAUGCAUCCAUAUGUCCCAAGGCCAAGACUUGGGUCAACUAGAGAGUUCUGGAAUCUGUAGCUCAGGCUGUUGCAGGGGGAAUCCUAGGCCUCACGCUUUAAGUGCAUGAAGACUGAGUUGCCCUCCUCCACACGUCUUAAGAAGGCCAUUGACUCUGCUUUUCAAAAAUGACUCACUUCAUGCUUUGGACCUGAGGAUGGACAGUGGACUUUUCAGAAGGAACAUCCAAUUCACAGAGCCAUUUGGCUUCUGGAGAGGAAUCAGCAACGUGUUUUCUCAGGGGUGGUUCAGCAGCUCUGUCCUGUCGUCAAGGAUGGAUGUCCUCACUGUGGUGUCAACGUCUCCAUCUGUGGCCAGCAGAUGGCUGCAGCAGCUGCAAGGACCACAUCCUUUCAUGGCAACUUCCAGGAGCACCUUGAGAGUGGGGGGCUCUCUACAUGGGUGUCUCCUCCCUUAUCAUGAAGGCAGUUGCAUCCUCGCCAUCUGCCAGCACGUCCUUUACAUCUCAUCAGCCAGGACUGGGUCGAGCGGCCAUCUCCAGCCAGAAGAGCAGUUAGGAAAAUUGGUAACUGGUGCUUCCUGCCACCAGAAUGGAAGCAGACAUACCAAGGGAAAUAGAUCUGUCAAUGGCUGGCACAUGGUCAGCCAAGAGCCAUUUUUAAUUCGAGGUCUUUUGAGCUUCUGUAUAAAUUUUAAGAUUAUUUAUUCUAAUUCUGUGGAAAAUGUCAUGGGUAUUUUGAUAGGGAUCGCAUUAAAUUUGCAGAUUGUUUUGGGUAGUAUGGCUGUGUUAACAAUAGUAAUCCUUCAAAUACAAGAGCAUGAGUUAUCUUUCCAUUUCUUUAAAUCAUAUUAA